AAACCAUUUUUCCCCCUUAGUAUGGGCGACAGAAAAGGGCAUGAGGCGCAAUAGAAACAGUACCGCAAGGGAAAGCUGAAAGAGAAAUGAAACAACCCAGCAAAGCCUAAUAAAGCAGAGAUUACAUCUCGUACCUUUUGCAUCAUGAUUUAGCCAGUAAUAUUUAAGCAAAGAGCACUUUAGUUUAAAACCCCGAAACUAGAUGAGCUACUCCGAGACAGCCUAUAAAUAGGGCAAAUCCGUCUCUGUGGCAAAAGAGUGGAAAGAGCUCCGAGUAGAGGUGACAGACCUACCGAAUCUAGUUAUAGCUGGUUGCCUGAGAACUGGAUAGAAGUUCAGCCUCACGGCUUCUCCCCUCACAACCACUACAUUUUAAGACAACCAAAGAAACCCUGAGAGUUAAUCAAAAGAGGUACAGCUCCUUUGAUAAAAGACACAACUUUCCCAGGAGGGUAAAGAUCAUAUUUUACUAAGGCCAAAUGUCCUGGUGGGCCUAAAAGCAGCCACCCAUGUAGAAAGCGUUAAAGCUCAAACAUAACCGCCUUCCCCUAUUAUACUGAUAAUUCUAUCUUAACCCCCUAACCCGUAUCAGGCCGUCCCCUGCGAGCAGGGGAGCGACAAUGCUAAAAUGAGUAAUAAGAGAGCCAGACUCUCUCCCCGCACACGUGUACCUCGGAACGGACUCACCACCGAAUCUUAACGGCCCCAAACAAAGAGGGUAAUGAGCAACAAAAGAGACAACUAGAAAAACACUCAACCUCGAACCGUUAGCCCCACACUGGUGUGCUCCAUGGGAAAGACUAAAAGAAAAAGAAGGAACUCGGCAAACACAUUUUGAGCCUCGCCUGUUUACCAAAAACAUCGCCUCUUGCAAAAUUAAUGAAUAAGAGGUCCCGCCUGCCCUGUGAUAUAUUUAUUUAACGGCCGCGGUAUUUUGACCGUGCGAAGGUAGCGCAAUCACUUGUCCUUUAAAUGGGGACCUGUAUGAAUGGCAUAACGAGGGCUCUACUGUCUCCUUUUUCCAGUCAAUGAAAUUGAUCUCCCCGUGCAGAAGCGGGGAUAAUACCAUAAGACGAGAAGACCCUAUGGAGCUUUAGACACUAAAGCAGACCACGUUAAACACUCCAAGACAACGGAUUAAACUACAUGGCUCCUGCCCGAAUGUCUUUGGUUGGGGCGACCACGGGGGAAAGCAAAGCCCCCAUGUGGAAUGGGAAUACCAUUCCUACAACCAAGAGUUUCCACUCCAGUGACCAGAACUUCUGACCUUACAGAUCCGGCAAAGCCGAUCAACGGACCGAGUUACCCUAGGGAUAACAGCGCAAUCCUCUUUUAGAGCCCAUAUCGACAAGAGGGUUUACGACCUCGAUGUUGGAUCAGGACAUCCUAAUGGUGCAGCCGCUAUUAAGGGUUCGUUUGUUCAACGAUUAAAGUCCUACGUGAUCUGAGUUCAGACCGGAGUAAUCCAGGUCAGUUUCUAUCUAUGCUAUGAUCUUUUCUAGUACGAAAGGACCGAAAAGAGGAGGCCCCUGCUACAAGCACGCCUCACCUCCAACUAAUGAAGACAACUAAAAUAGCUAAGGAGGC
RNAcentral lists this ribosomal RNA (1587 nucleotides) under Sillago ingenuua (bay sillago). RNAcentral's name for it is "partial 16S ribosomal RNA". It matches the Rfam family "Bacterial large subunit ribosomal RNA", at positions 216 to 2797 of the family's 2925-position model. The record is from RNAcentral. Lineage: Eukaryota; Metazoa; Chordata; Actinopteri; Sillaginidae.